AUUGAACGCUGGCGGCAGGCCUAACACAUGCAAGUCGAGCGGAUGACGGGAGCUUGCUCCUUGAUUCAGCGGCGGACGGGUGAGUAAUGCCUAGGAAUCUGCCUGGUAGUGGGGGACAACGAGUCGAAAGGAACGCUAAUACCGCAUACGUUCUACGGGAGAAAGCAGGGGACCUGCGGGCCUUGCGCUAUCAGAUGAGCUUAGGUCGGAUUAGCUAGUAGGUGAGGUAAUGGCGCACCUAGGCGACGAUCCGUAACUGGUCUGAGAGGAUGAUCAGUCACACUGGAAAUGAGACACGGUCCAGACUCAUACGGGAGGCAGCAGUGGGGAAUAUUGGACAAUGGGCGAAAGCCUGAUCCAGCCAUGCCGCGUGUGUGAAGAAGGUCUUCGGAUUGUAAAGCACUUUAAGUUGGGAGGAAGGGCAGUAAGUUAAUACCUUGCUGUUUUGACGUUACCGACAGAAUAAGCACCGGCUAACUCUGUGCCAGCCGCCGCAGUAA
RNAcentral lists this ribosomal RNA (500 nucleotides) under uncultured bacterium. Its description in RNAcentral is "partial 16S ribosomal RNA". It matches the Rfam family "Bacterial small subunit ribosomal RNA", at positions 30 to 523 of the family's 1533-position model. The record is from RNAcentral.